UUUAAGCCCUUUUAAACACCCCCAGGGAUUGCCUCAGAUACGGUGAUUGCAAGCGGCAACAGCUCACAUUUGAAAUCCUGGCCCUCGGCCCGUAGUUGUAAUUUGCAGAGGAUGCUUUUGGCGCGGGGCCUUCCGAGUUCCCUGGAACGGGACGCCAUAUAGGGUGAGAGCCCCGUACGGUUGGACGCCAAGCCUCUGUAAAGCUCCUUCGACGAGUCGAGUAGUUUGGGAAUGCUGCUCAAAACGGGAGGUAAAUGCCUUCUAAAGCUAAAUACCGGCCAGAGACCGAUAGCGCACAAGUAGAGUGAUCGAAAGAUGAAAAGCACUUUGAAAAGAGGGUUAAAUAGGCACGUGUAAAUUGUUGAAAGGGAAGCGCUUUAUGACCAGGACUUGCGCCCCGUGGAAUCAUCCAGCGUUCUCGCUGGUGCACUUCGCGGGGCCCAGGCCAGCAUCGAUUUUCCCAGGGGGGACAAAAGCCGCGGGGGACCGUAGCUCCUCCGGGAGUGUUAUAAGCCCGCGGCCACAAUGCCCUUGGGGGGAUCGAGGUCCGCGCUCCGCAAGGAUGCUGGGCGUAAUGGUCAUCAAGCGACCCGUCUUGAAACACGGACCAAGGAGUCAAGCAUUACGGCGAAGUGUUUGGGUGCCCAAACCCGCACGCGAAAUGAAAGUGAACGCAGGUGAGAACUUUCGCGCAUCAUUGACCGGAUCCUGAUGUAUUCGGAUGGAUUUUGAGUUAAGAGCCUUACCGUUUGGGACCCCAAAAGAUGGGUGAACUUUUGCCUGGGAUAAGGGGGGAAGCCCAGAAGGAAAACUCUUGGUGGGAGGCUUCCCAGCGGUUCUUACGUUGCCAAAUUCGAUUCGGUUAAAAUUUUGGGCCAUGGGGGGCCAAAAGAACUUAAUUCGAACCAUCUUAGUUCCCUGGGUUUACCGCCGAAAUUUUCCCUUAAGGAUAGCCAAUGGUUGGGUUCAAUUUUAUGAAGGUAAAGCGAAUUGAUUAGGGACUUCGGGGGCGCCUUUUUAGCCUUCAUUCCUUCUUCAACUUAAAAUUGUUAAAAGCCCUUGUUCUUAAUUGAACUGGGCAUUCUAAU
RNAcentral lists this ribosomal RNA (1088 nucleotides) under Pseudoproboscispora caudae-suis. RNAcentral's name for it is "eukaryotic LSU rRNA". It matches the Rfam family "Eukaryotic large subunit ribosomal RNA", at positions 45 to 1113 of the family's 3401-position model. The record is from RNAcentral. Lineage: Eukaryota; Fungi; Ascomycota; Sordariomycetes; Annulatascales; Annulatascaceae.